CCGUAUUCUUGCGAAAGCAAAGUUUACGCUAAAAAAAACCAGAGAUAAAACGCGACUGUCAGAGAACCGCUUGAGGCGCGCGGGUUUACGGCUGUAUGGCCUCUGCGCGCCGAUGGUUAUUAUGUCGUACCAAAUCAUGAGACGUGCCGGGAGAUGGCCCAAAACAGGGAGGCCAGAUGAAGUGUCGGUAUCGGACGAAAACACCCAUAAGAUGUGCGCUAACCCAGUGCGCUCGACCCAGAGCUUUGAAUGGUCGAGUCGCGCGGGGCACGUUCUUCGACGGUGAGCUGAUAGUAAUGCGGKGGGAGGGCGAGAGUCCUCCGCCAACCGCGCCGACGCGACCCGGGUGGUCAAUCAUACCGUCUAACCCAUGCCUCCCAACUCUCUCACGGGAGUUGGGUGUAAAAGGCGACCAGAUGGUUAGGGAGUUUAAAACCGCGCUAACAGCGAGGCGGAGAGAGAGAGAGAAAAAAAAUCAUACAGAGAUGAUGCGAUGCGCUCGCGCGCGUCGCGUCGAUUUUUUUUUCUCCUCCUUUCUCCUCUCCUGGUGGACUCCCAAUUUUCUUCGGAAGUAUUCCUCUUUGACUGCUUGUCGCCGUACACGAGAUCUCCUCGGAG
RNAcentral lists this unclassified non-coding RNA (618 nucleotides) under Frankliniella williamsi. RNAcentral's name for it is "partial miscellaneous RNA". Lineage: Eukaryota; Metazoa; Arthropoda; Insecta; Thysanoptera; Thripidae. The record is from RNAcentral.